Molecule: transfer RNA, 59 nt
Filed under: Streptococcus sanguinis
Lineage: Bacteria; Bacillati; Bacillota; Bacilli; Lactobacillales; Streptococcaceae
Also listed under: 1 other name
Description: tRNA-Arg
Rfam family: tRNA
About the family: Transfer RNA (tRNA) molecules are approximately 80 nucleotides in length. Their secondary structure includes four short double-helical elements and three loops (D, anti-codon, and T loops).
Source: RNAcentral
UAGCUCAACUGGAUAGAGUACCUGACUACGAAUCAGGCGGUUAGAGGUUCGACUCCUCU